AAGGAAAGUAUUGCAAGCAACAGUGGUCGCUGCUGGAUCGGGUUCUAACGGGAAGGGUGGAGAGAUUCAACCAGGUAGCGUGAGAGUUGGAGAUGAAGUUCUUCUCCCAGAAUACGGAGGCACCAAAGUAGUUCUAGAUGACAAGGAUUAUUUCCUAUUCAGAGAUGGUGACAUUCUUGGAAAGUACGUAGACUGAAAUAAGUCACUACUGAAAUGGCAUCAAUGUGACACUGUCCAUUCCACGGAAGUUCUGAAAUCUUUCAUCAUGUAAAUCACUUCCAUAUCUCUCUUUUAUAAUAAACCAGUGAUAACUGAUGACAAAAAAGGAAGAACAGAAUAUUAACUAGUAUCUCAGCAGCUUUCUGUAAGCUUCUCCCUGAUUGCUUCUCUCUCCCUUCCUUCCUGAAGUAAGUGCUAUUUUUAAUUUUGUAUUUAUAUAUUUAUAUAUAUAUAUAUUUUGUAGAUACGGAAUCUCAGUCUGUUCCCCAAGGUGGUCUCAAACUCAUUGGCUUAAGUGAUCCCCCAUCUCAGCCUCCCUAAGUGCUGGGACUACAGGCAUGAGCCACUGUGCCCAGCUUGUACUGUCAUCUUGUGUAUACUUGCAUCGUCUAGUUUUCGUGGUUUAUCGACGGUGUUUAUGGAUUAAGGAAGUUGGUCCUUUGUGAAGUCAGCUGCAGAUUCCUCUCUGCCAUUUGUUCUGAUGUUCCUUCUGUGGUCUCUGCCAAGUAGUUGAAUCUUCUAUAGUUUUUGAAGUCUGCGUUACGCUUGGACAAAUCUUCCCCACUGCGAGAUUGUUGAAAAGAAAAUUCCCCCUUUAAUGAACAGUUUCCUUUUCCUCUUUUCAAUUGUUUUUUUUUUCUUUUUUUGAGGCAGAGUCUCGCUCUAUCACCAGGCUGGAGUGCAGUGGCACAAUCUCAGCUCAUUGCACCCUCUGCCUCAGGGCUCAAGUGAUUCUCCUGCCUCGGUCUCUUCAGUACCUGGAAUGACAGGCAUCUGCCACCACAGAUGGCUAAUUUUUAUAUUUUU
Molecule: long non-coding RNA, 1026 nt
Filed under: Callithrix jacchus (white-tufted-ear marmoset)
Lineage: Eukaryota; Metazoa; Chordata; Mammalia; Primates; Cebidae
Description: lncRNA (ENSCJAG00000074728.1)
Source: RNAcentral